UACAGAGGUCCCGAGCGUUGUUCGGAUUCAUUGGGCGUAAAGGGUGCGUAGGCGGCGGGGCAAGUCUGAUGUGAAAUCCCGGGGCUCAACCCUGGAACUGCAUUGGAUACUGCCUUGCUAGAGUACUGGAGAGGAAACUGGAAUUUACGGUGUAGCAGUGAAAUGCGUAGAUAUCGUAAGGAAGACCAGUGGCGAAGGCGAGUUUCUGGACAGUUCCUGACACUGAGACACGAAGGCCAGGGGAGCAAACGGG
Molecule: ribosomal RNA, 253 nt
Filed under: uncultured bacterium
Lineage: Bacteria
Description: partial 16S ribosomal RNA
Rfam family: Bacterial small subunit ribosomal RNA
Source: RNAcentral